CCUACGGGAGGCAGCAGUGGGGGAUAUUGCACAAUGGGCGAAACCCUGAUGCAGCGACGCCGCGUGAGUGAAGAAGUAUUUCGGUAUGUAAAGCUCUAUCAGCAGGGAAGAAAAUGAUAGUACCUGUCCAAGAAGCCCUGUCUAACUACGUGCCAGCAGCCGCGGUAAGACGCAGGGGGCAAGCGUUAUCCGGAUUUACUGGGUGUAAAGGGAGCGUAGGCGGUUAUGUAAGUCUGGAGUGAAAGCCCGGGGCCCAACCCCGGGACUGCUUUGGAAACUGUGUAACUGGAGUGCAGGAGGGGCAGGCGGAAUGCGUGGUGUAGCGGUGAAAUGCGUAGAUAUCAGGAGGAACACCGGCGGCGAAGGCGGCCUGCUGGACUGAAACUGACGUUGAGGCUCGAAAGCGUGGGGAGCAAACAGGAUUAGAUACCCCGGUAGUC
This 440-nucleotide ribosomal RNA is filed under the name uncultured bacterium. Its description in RNAcentral is "partial 16S ribosomal RNA". It matches the Rfam family "Bacterial small subunit ribosomal RNA", at positions 338 to 795 of the family's 1533-position model. The record is from RNAcentral.